CGCGCGAGCGAACGAGUGGAAGAGCCACUCCAUGACAAUCGGUUGCACCCGCGCAGUCCCGAAUUGUACGUACUCGGAGAAGCGUGACGCACGGCGUUCGUCGCCUUGAGCCUCUCGGGCCGAAGACGUGCCAUGGGCUAGCCCCAUUGGUUCUCUUCGCCCAAACAACAAACCCCCGGCGCCGAACGCGCCAAGGAACAUGAUUCUAAGGGCGUUCUCUUGUCGUCCCGGCAACGGUGCACGUGCAAUGAGUGACGCGAAAUUUGUAUCCAAAAUGACUCUCGGCAACGGAUAUCUCGGCUCUCGCAUCGAUGAAGAACGUAGCGAAAUGCGAUACUUGGUGUGAAUUGCAGAAUCCCGUGAACCAUCGAGUCUUUGAACGCAAGUUGCGCCCGAAGCCAUUAGGCCGAGGGCACGUCUGGCUGGGUGUCACGCAACGUCGCCCCAACCCCCACGCCCAUCGCAGGGCGUCGGGGGUCAAGGGCGGAUGAUGGCCUCCCGUGAGCCACGCCUCGCGGAUGGCCGAAAUAAGAGUUUGCGAUGUGGCGAGCACCACGGCGCACGGUAGUUGAGUAAACAACGCUCGAGCCCAGUCGUGAGUGCUCCGCCCCCGUGGCGAGCUCGGAGACCCUAUCGCGUCUCGGGACGCUUCUGAUGCGACCUCAGCUCAGGCGGGGCUACCCGCUGAGUUUAAGCAUAUCAAUAAGCUGGUUGAGGUAGAAGUMGUAACAAGGAUUCCCCUAGUAACGGCGAGCGAACCGGGAAGAGCCCACCAUGAAAAUCUGUCGCCC
This 791-nucleotide ribosomal RNA is filed under the name Berlinia auriculata. RNAcentral's name for it is "eukaryotic LSU rRNA". The stretch from base 277 to 432 matches the Rfam family "5.8S ribosomal RNA". Lineage: Eukaryota; Viridiplantae; Streptophyta; Magnoliopsida; Fabales; Fabaceae. The record is from RNAcentral.